UACGGAGGGGGCUAGUGUUAUUCGGAAUGACUGGGCGUAAAGGGCACGUAGGCGGUAAACUAAGUUGAAAGUGAAAUCCCAAAGCUUAACUUUGGAACGGCUUUCAAAACUAGUUCACUCGAGUUCGAUAGGGGAUAGUGGAAUUUCUAAUGUAGAGAUACAAUUCGAAAAUAUUAGAAGGAACACCAGUGGCGAAGGCGACUAUCUGGAUCGAUACUGACGCUGAGGUGCGAAAGCAUGGGGAGCAAAUGGG
Molecule: ribosomal RNA, 253 nt
Filed under: uncultured bacterium
Lineage: Bacteria
Description: partial 16S ribosomal RNA
Rfam family: Bacterial small subunit ribosomal RNA
Source: RNAcentral